GGCAGGCAGACAGGCCAGCCCAGUAAAUCCACUGCAUAUACACCUCAGUAUACGAAGUGAUGCUUGAUCUGUACUGUUAAUGGAGGGACAUAA
Molecule: small nucleolar RNA, 93 nt
Filed under: Sorex araneus (European shrew)
Lineage: Eukaryota; Metazoa; Chordata; Mammalia; Eulipotyphla; Soricidae
Description: Small nucleolar RNA SNORA51 (ENSSARG00000018500.1)
Source: RNAcentral